CAGCAGCCGCGGUAAUACGUAGGUCCCGAGCGUUGUCCGGAUUUAUUGGGCGUAAAGCGAGCGCAGGCGGAUCAGUCAGUCAGGGGUGAAAUCCCGGGGCUCAACCCCGGAACUGCCCUUGAUACUGCUGGUCUUGAGGUCGAGAGAGGUGAGUGGAAUUCCGAGUGUAGAGGUGAAAUUCGUAGAUAUGUGGAGGAACGCCAGUGGCGAAGGCGGCUUUCUGGACUGUAACUGACGCUGAGGCUCGAAAGCCAGGGGAGCGAACGGGAUUAGAUACCCGCGUAGUCCCUGUCUCUUAUAC
This 301-nucleotide ribosomal RNA is filed under the name uncultured bacterium. RNAcentral's name for it is "partial 16S ribosomal RNA". It matches the Rfam family "Bacterial small subunit ribosomal RNA", at positions 509 to 807 of the family's 1533-position model. The record is from RNAcentral.